RNAcentral lists this long non-coding RNA (225 nucleotides) under Hordeum vulgare. RNAcentral's name for it is "long non-coding RNA (HVUL_LNC000368)". Lineage: Eukaryota; Viridiplantae; Streptophyta; Magnoliopsida; Poales; Poaceae. The record is from RNAcentral.
CCACCAAAGAUCUCCCACCAAGCUCCAAGGCUCCGAAGCGCCGUACCAAUCAACACCUCCAAGAAGGACCGCGACGAUGAAGACGUUGCUGCCAAAGGUUUCCCCUGGUACACGACGACGCGAGAAGAAGGGUAGCCCCCGAUGCCCUCAAGGAACGUCCGACGGUAACCAUAGGCGCCACCGGGUCGGUGUCGGACAGGCCGACAGGGGUUUCCCCCGAUCCCA